AGCGAACGCUGGCGGCAGGCUUAACACAUGCAAGUCGAGCGGGCGUAGCAAUACGUCAGCGGCAGACGGGUGAGUAACGCGUGGGAACGUACCUUUUGGUUCGGAACAACCCAGGGAAACUUGGGCUAAUACCGGAUAAGCCCUUACGGGGAAAGAUUUAUCGCCGAAAGAUCGGCCCGCGUCUGACUAGCUAGUUGGUGGGGUAAUGGCCCACCAAGGCGACGAUCAGUAGCUGGUCUGAGAGGAUGAUCAGCCACAUUGGGACUGAGACACGGCCCAAACUCCUACGGGAGGCAGCAGUGGGGAAUAUUGGACAAUGGGCGCAAGCCUGAUCCAGCCAUGCCGCGUGAGUGAUGAAGGCCCUAGGGUUGUAAAGCUCUUUUGUGCGGGAAGAUAAUGACGGUACCGC
RNAcentral lists this ribosomal RNA (409 nucleotides) under uncultured bacterium. RNAcentral describes it as "bacterial SSU rRNA". It matches the Rfam family "Bacterial small subunit ribosomal RNA", at positions 29 to 481 of the family's 1533-position model. The record is from RNAcentral.